This 826-nucleotide transfer RNA is filed under the name uncultured cyanobacterium. RNAcentral describes it as "partial miscellaneous RNA". The stretch from base 263 to 335 matches the Rfam family "tRNA". The record is from RNAcentral. Lineage: Bacteria; Bacillati; Cyanobacteriota.
CAGGGAGACAAAAACUGGUCUUGAUGUCUGAGUAUUUAACUCUUAGUCCAAGGUCCUGUCACCUUAGGUCGAUCGGUACCUCAAAUUAAUAACUUAAGGUUUGAAUAUUCAAUACCAAAAAGUUAGUUGAUUUUAGUUCCUAAACUUUGUCUAGGUCACACCCCGCAAGGGUUACUCCUGGGCCAUUAGCUCAGGUGGUUAGAGCGCACCCCUGAUAAGGGUGAGGUCCCUGGUUCAAGCCCAGGAUGGCCCAUUCGGUGUUGGGGGUUUAGCUCAGUUGGUAGAGCGCCUGCUUUGCAAGCAGGAUGUCAGCGGUUCGAGUCCGCUAACCUCCACUGGCCGACCUUCUUCAACGCCAGAAAGUUGAGGAACAUUGUGUGUUGUGACUUGGAUUGUUUCCGCUGAUGGAACGAGCCUAGCUUCCUCUCAUUCCAAUCCUAAUUAUUCAUUAGGUCAGGCUGAAAGGAUGCUGGGCUCACUUUGAUUUUAUUAAAUCUCAGAGAUGUUCAGCAGAACCUUGAAAACUGCAUAGGUGAGUCUGGAAAAGAAUAAAGCAUCUCAUGGAUACGUUGUUCUUUUUCAAACGACUUAAUAGAGAGAUCUAUUGAUUCGUUUGAGUAAAUAAUUACGUUCAAAUUCUUGAGUUAGAGCCGAGAGCUUAUAGCGUCUUUUUUGCUUUUAAGCAUAAAGAGUUUGAUUGAAUUAUUCUUUUUUCUACCCUUUUAGCAUUCAAAGUGAAUUUUCACUUUGAAUGCUAAAAGAAUGGAUAUUAAAAGGAAUAAUCAAGAAUGCGUUUCAACAACGUUGAUCGCUAUAAGAAUUAUAU